This 754-nucleotide ribosomal RNA is filed under the name uncultured Pseudomonas sp. RNAcentral's name for it is "bacterial SSU rRNA". It matches the Rfam family "Bacterial small subunit ribosomal RNA", at positions 28 to 776 of the family's 1533-position model. Lineage: Bacteria; Pseudomonadati; Pseudomonadota; Gammaproteobacteria; Pseudomonadales; Pseudomonadaceae. The record is from RNAcentral.
AUUGAACGCUGGCGGCAGGCCUAACACAUGCAAGUCGGGCGGUAGAGAGAAGCUUGCUUCUCUUGAGAGCGGCGGACGGGUGAGUAAUGCCUAGGAAUCUGCCUGGUAGUGGGGGAUAACGUUCGGAAACGGACGCUAAUACCGCAUACGUCCUACGGGAGAAAGCAGGGGACCUUCGGGCCUUGCGCUAUCAGAUGAGCCUAGGUCGGAUUAGCUAGUUGGUGAGGUAAUGGCUCACCAAGGCGACGAUCCGUAACUGGUCUGAGAGGAUGAUCAGUCACACUGGAACUGAGACACGGUCCAGACUCCUACGGGAGGCAGCAGUGGGGAAUAUUGGACAAUGGGCGAAAGCCUGAUCCAGCCAUGCCGCGUGUGUGAAGAAGGUCUUCGGAUUGUAAAGCACUUUAAGUUGGGAGGAAGGGUUGUAGAUUAAUACUCUGCAAUUUUGACGUUACCGACAGAAUAAGCACCGGCUAACUCUGUGCCAGCAGCCGCGGUAAUACAGAGGGUGCAAGCGUUAAUCGGAAUUACUGGGCGUAAAGCGCGCGUAGGUGGUUUGUUAAGUUGGAUGUGAAAUCCCCGGGCUCAACCUGGGAACUGCAUUCAAAACUGACUGACUAGAGUAUGGUAGAGGGUGGUGGGAUUUCCUGUGUAGCGGUGAAAUGCGUAGAUAUAGGAAGGAACACCAGUGGCGAAGGCGACCACCUGGACUAAUACUGACACUGAGGUGCGAAAGCGUGGGGGAGCAAACAGG